This 1522-nucleotide ribosomal RNA is filed under the name metagenome. RNAcentral describes it as "bacterial SSU rRNA". It matches the Rfam family "Bacterial small subunit ribosomal RNA". The record is from RNAcentral.
AGAGUUUGAUCAUGGCUCAGAUUGAACGCUGGCGGCAGGCCUAACACAUGCAAGUCGAACGGUAACAGGAAGAAGCUUGCUUCUUUGCUGACGAGUGGCGGACGGGUGAGUAAUGUCUGGGAAACUGCCUGAUGGAGGGGGAUAACUACUGGAAACGGUAGCUAAUACCGCAUAACGUCGCAAGACCAAAGAGGGGGACCUUCGGGCCUCUUGCCAUCGGAUGUGCCCAGAUGGGAUUAGCUAGUAGGUGGGGUAACGGCUCACCUAGGCGACGAUCCCUAGCUGGUCUGAGAGGAUGACCAGCCACACUGGAACUGAGACACGGUCCAGACUCCUACGGGAGGCAGCAGUGGGGAAUAUUGCACAAUGGGCGCAAGCCUGAUGCAGCCAUGCCGCGUGUAUGAAGAAGGCCUUCGGGUUGUAAAGUACUUUCAGCGGGGAGGAAGGGAGUAAAGUUAAUACCUUUGCUCAUUGACGUUACCCGCAGAAGAAGCACCGGCUAACUCCGUGCCAGCAGCCGCGGUAAUACGGAGGGUGCAAGCGUUAAUCGGAAUUACUGGGCGUAAAGCGCACGCAGGCGGUUUGUUAAGUCAGAUGUGAAAUCCCCGGGCUCAACCUGGGAACUGCAUCUGAUACUGGCAAGCUUGAGUCUCGUAGAGGGGGGUAGAAUUCCAGGUGUAGCGGUGAAAUGCGUAGAGAUCUGGAGGAAUACCGGUGGCGAAGGCGGCCCCCUGGACGAAGACUGACGCUCAGGUGCGAAAGCGUGGGGAGCAAGCAGGAUUAGAUACCCUGGUAGUCCACGCCGUAAACGAUGUCGACUUGGAGGUUGUGCCCUUGAGGCGUGGCUUCCGGAGCUAACGCGUUAAGUCGACCGCCUGGGGAGUACGGCCGCAAGGUUAAAACUCAAAUGAAUUGACGGGGGCCCGCACAAGCGGUGGAGCAUGUGGUUUAAUUCGAUGCAACGCGAAGAACCUUACCUGGUCUUGACAUCCACGGAAGUUUUCAGAGAUGAGAAUGUGCCUUCGGGAACCGUGAGACAGGUGCUGCAUGGUUGUCGUCAGCUCGUGUUGUGAAAUGUUGGGUUAAGUCCCGCAACGAGCGCAACCCUUAUCCUUUGUUGCCAGCGGUCCGGCCGGGAACUCAAGGGAGACUGCCAGUGAUAAACUGGAGGAAGGUGGGGAUGACGUCAAGUCAUCAUGACCCUUACGACCAGGGCUACACACGUGCUACAAUGGCGCAUACAAAGAGAAGCGACCUCGCGAGAGCAAGCGGACCUCAUAAAGUGCGUCGUAGUCCGGAUUGGAGUCUGCAACUCGACUCCAUGAAGUCGGAAUCGCUAGUAAUCGUGGAUCAGAAUGCCACGGUGAAUACGUUCCCGGGCCUUGUACACACCGCCCGUCACACCAUGGGAGUGGGUUGCAAAAGAAGUAGGUAGCUUAACCUUCGGGAGGGCGCUUACCACUUUGUGAUUCAUGACUGGGGUGAAGUCGUAACAAGGUAACCGUAGGGGAACCUGCGGUUG